AUGAACGCUGGCGGCGUAGCUUAACACAUGCAAGUCGAACGGAGUAUUAACGCUGAACAAACGAUUAGCUUGCUAAAAGUGAGUUCUUGUUGAUACUAGUGGCGGACGGGUGAGUAACGCGUGGGUAACCUGCCAUAUACAGGGGGAUAACACUUAGAAAUAGGUGCUAAUACCGCAUAAGCGCACAGUAUCGCAUGAUACAGUGUGAAAAACUGAGGUGGUAUAUGAUGGACCCGCGUCUGAUUAGCUAGUUGGUGAGAUAAAAGCCCACCAAGGCGACGAUCAGUAGCCGGCCUGAGAGGGUGAACGGCCACAUUGGGACUGAGACACGGCCCAAACUCCUACGGGAGGCAGCAGUGGGGAAUAUUGCACAAUGGGGGAAACCCUGAUGCAAGCGACGCCGCGUGAGUGAUGAAGUAUUUCGGUAUGUAAAGCUCUAUCAGCAGGGAAGAAAAUGACGGUACCUGACUAAGAAGCCCCGGCUAACUACGUGCCAGCCGCCGC
RNAcentral lists this ribosomal RNA (504 nucleotides) under uncultured bacterium. Its description in RNAcentral is "bacterial SSU rRNA". It matches the Rfam family "Bacterial small subunit ribosomal RNA", at positions 29 to 518 of the family's 1533-position model. The record is from RNAcentral.